GUCCUCGUAGCUCAGCUGGAUAGAGCGCAACCUUGCGGAGGUUGAGGUCGGAGGUUCGAAUCCUCUCGAGGACGCCA
RNAcentral lists this transfer RNA (77 nucleotides) under Candidatus Spechtbacteria bacterium RIFCSPHIGHO2_12_FULL_38_30. Its description in RNAcentral is "tRNA-Arg". It matches the Rfam family "tRNA". From Rfam's summary of the family: Transfer RNA (tRNA) molecules are approximately 80 nucleotides in length. The record is from RNAcentral. RNAcentral also lists the same sequence under 2 other names. Lineage: Bacteria; Candidatus Spechtiibacteriota.